This 528-nucleotide ribosomal RNA is filed under the name uncultured bacterium. RNAcentral describes it as "bacterial SSU rRNA". It matches the Rfam family "Bacterial small subunit ribosomal RNA", at positions 777 to 1304 of the family's 1533-position model. The record is from RNAcentral.
AAUAGAACCCCGGUAGUCCACGCCGUAAACGAUGAGUGCUAAGUGUUGGGGGGUUUCCGCCCCUCAGUGCUGCAGCUAACGCAUUAAGCACUCCGCCUGGGGAGUACGGCCGCAAGGCUGAAACUCAAAGGAAUUGACGGGGGCCCGCACAAGCGGUGGAGCAUGUGGUUUAAUUCGAAGCAACGCGAAGAACCUUACCAGGUCUUGACAUCCCGCUGCCCGGUAUAGUGGUAUACCUUUCCCUUCGGGGACAGCGGUGACAGGUGGUGCAUGGUUGUCGUCAGCUCGUGUCGUGAGAUGUUGGGUUAAGUCCCGCAACGAGCGCAACCCUUGAUCUUAGUUGCCAGCAUUUAGUUGGGCACUCUAAGGUGACUGCCGGUGACAAACCGGAGGAAGGUGGGGAUGACGUCAAAUCAUCAUGCCCCUUAUGACCUGGGCUACACACGUGCUACAAUGGAUGGUACAAAGGGCUGCAAGACCGCGAGGUUUAGCCAAUCCCAUAAAACCAUUCUCAGUUCGGAUUGCAGG